Molecule: ribosomal RNA, 477 nt
Filed under: uncultured bacterium
Lineage: Bacteria
Description: partial 16S ribosomal RNA
Rfam family: Bacterial small subunit ribosomal RNA
Source: RNAcentral
AUUGAACGCUGGCGGCAUGCCUUACACAUGCAAGUCGAACGGUAACAGGUUAAGCUGACGAGUGGCGAACGGGUGAGUAAUGUAUCGGAACGUGCCCAGUCGUGGGGGAUAACUGCUCGAAAGAGCAGCUAAUACCGCAUACGACCUGAGGGUGAAAGCGGGGGAUCGCAAGACCUCGCGCGAUUGGAGCGGCCGAUAUCAGAUUAGGUAGUUGGUGAGGUAAAGGCUCACCAAGCCGACGAUCUGUAGCUGGUCUGAGAGGACGACCAGCCACACUGGGACUGAGACACGGCCCAGACUCCUACGGGAGGCAGCAGUGGGGAAUUUUGGACAAUGGGCGCAAGCCUGAUCCAGCCAUGCCGCGUGCGGGAAGAAGGCCUUCGGGUUGUAAACCGCUUUUGUCAGGGAAGAAAAGGUUCUGGCUAAUACCUGGGACUCAUGACGGUACCUGAUGAAUAAGCACCGGCUAACUACGUG